AGCUCUCGCUAUUAGAUGAGCCUAAGUCGGAUUAGCUGGUUGGUGGGGUAAAGGCCUACCAAGGCGACGAUCUGUAGCUGGUCUGAGAGGAUGAUCAGCCACACUGGGACUGAGACACGGCCCAGACUCCUACGGGAGGCAGCAGUGGGGAAUAUUGGACAAUGGGCGAAAGCCUGAUCCAGCCAUGCCGCGUGUGUGAAGAAGGCCUUUUGGUUGUAAAGCACUUUAAGUGGGGAGGAAAAGCUUAUGGUUAAUACCCAUAAGCCCUGACGUUACCCACAGAAUAAGCACCGGCUAACUCUGUGCCAGCAGCCGCGGUAAUACAGAGGGUGCAAGCGUUAAUCGGAAUUACUGGGCGUAAAGCGCGCGUAGGUGGUUAUUUAAGUCAGAUGUGAAAGCCCCGGGCUUAACCUGGGAACUGCAUCUGAUACUGGAUAACUAGAGUAGGUGAGAGGGGAGUAGAAUUCCAGGUGUAGCGGUGAAAUGCGUAGAGAUCUGGAGGAAUACCGAUGGCGAAGGCAGCUCCCUGGCAUCAUACUGACACUGAGGUGCGAAAGCGUGGGUAGCAAACAGGAUUAGAUACCCUGGUAGUCCACGCCGUAAACGAUGUCUACCAGUCGUUGGGUCUUUUAAAGGCUUAGUGACGCAGUUAACGCAAUAAGUAGACCGCCU
This 672-nucleotide ribosomal RNA is filed under the name uncultured Moraxella sp. RNAcentral describes it as "bacterial SSU rRNA". It matches the Rfam family "Bacterial small subunit ribosomal RNA", at positions 210 to 874 of the family's 1533-position model. Lineage: Bacteria; Pseudomonadati; Pseudomonadota; Gammaproteobacteria; Moraxellales; Moraxellaceae. The record is from RNAcentral.